Molecule: ribosomal RNA, 398 nt
Filed under: uncultured bacterium
Lineage: Bacteria
Description: partial 16S ribosomal RNA
Rfam family: Bacterial small subunit ribosomal RNA
Source: RNAcentral
AUACGUAGGGUGCGAGCGUUGUCCGGAAUUACUGGGCGUAAAGGGCUCGUAGGUGGUUUGUCGCGUCGUCUGUGAAAUUCCGGGGCUUAACUCCGGGCGUGCAGGCGAUACGGGCAUAACUUGAGUACUGUAGGGGAGACUGGAAUUCCUGGUGUAGCGGUGAAGUGCGCAGAUAUCAGGAGGAACACCGGUGGCGAAGGGGGGUCUCUGGGCAGUAACUGACGCUGAGGAGCGAAAGCAUGGGUAGCGAACAGGAUUAGAUACCCUGGUAGUCCAUGCCGUAAACGGUGGGCGCUAGGUGUAGGGGUCUUCCACGACUUCUGUGCCGUAGCUAACGCAUUAAGCGCCCCGCCUGGGGAGUACGGCCGCAAGGCUAAAACUCAAAGGAAUUGACGGGG